RNAcentral lists this ribosomal RNA (309 nucleotides) under uncultured eukaryote. RNAcentral describes it as "partial 18S ribosomal RNA". It matches the Rfam family "Eukaryotic small subunit ribosomal RNA", at positions 1470 to 1796 of the family's 1831-position model. The record is from RNAcentral.
CCCUUAGAUGUUCUGGGCGGCCCGCGCACUACAUUGGCACUCUCAAUAAGUUCCUAGAUCUAAAACUUUGGGGUAUUCUAUUAAGUGGUGUCGUGACUGGGAUUAACCCUUGCAAUUAUUGGUUACGAACGAGGAAUUCCUUGUAAGCAUGGUUUAUCAUCCGACGCUGAAUGCGUCCCUGCCCUUUGUACACACCGCCCGUCGCUCCUACCGAUGAGUCGUCCGGUGAAGUUCGUAGACCUCGUGAUCGCGGAUCACUGGGGGAAGCAAAAUGAACCUCGCGGUUUAGAGGAAGGAGAAGUCGUAACA